Brassica napus (rape) is the source of this 989-nucleotide long non-coding RNA. RefSeq lists it as uncharacterized. Lineage: Eukaryota; Viridiplantae; Streptophyta; Magnoliopsida; Brassicales; Brassicaceae. The record is from RefSeq and is a predicted model, not a curated record. The transcript is spliced from 2 exons.
AUAGAUGAGUGAAAAUAGUGAGUUGUGAUAUUCCUUGGUUUAGAGUUUGACAACAUAUGUUGUAGUAUUGUAUGUAUUCUUAGGGUUAGAUUUUGAAAAACUUAAAUGUUUUUUUUGAAAAUUUAAAAUUUUACCUAUACGUGUUUAGUUAUGUGUAUAUUAAACAUUUUUUUAGUAUAAUCUUAUUCUAAAGUGUUUUUUUUAACGUCUGAUUAAUUAUGCUAUUACAACGAUGAGAAAUAUCACAUAAACGAUUUUACGGCCGACAAUUCUACUAUCAUAUGAAAAUGUACGUCUGACUGCAUCAUUCUGAGCCGUCCUAUGAGAUCUAUGUUCGAUGAUACAUACUUGCACCAUGCUAAAGAAACCAUUUUUUCUCCAUAAUCGGCAUAAUUUGUGUUUUCUGGAGUUUGAAUCCCAGACCUCCCGGUGUAAAAGCAUUAAUGAAUCCUUAGUCAAACCAUUGGACUAAGGGGGUUUCCACUAUUCUAAAGUGAUUAGUUACUUAAUUUAGUUUAGAGUUAUAUUUAGGAUAUUUUGACAAAGGUGAACCCACCGCGGAGCUUCUCUUCCUCUGAAGCGGAGACGGAGAAGACAGAGGAGGAGGUCGACGGUGAAGAUAUAGGAGCGACGGUGGUUUGUUAGUGCGACAUUCACCACCACCACCAAGUUAAAUCUCCUGGGAAAAUGUGAAGACAAAACUUUUCUCUAGGAAUGUUUUCAAACCAUGGGUAUAAGACAUGGCGGUCAUGAGCAGAGAAGGCGCAUCCCCUACGCUUUCCCUGUGAGAUACAUGCCAAGGCCAAGAAGGAAAUGAGAGAUCAAGGUUUUGAUUUAGUUCCCAUGUUUUCUAUAGUCUUUUUUAUAUUUAGUUUUGAUGUUAUAAUGAUGUUUGUGUAAGAUUGAUGAAAAUGUAUACAUGUUUGUGGUACUAAUAUAAGUACAUUUUGGUUUAUAAAUGAAUAUAAAUUGAAUAUUUUUUAUGUAAA